AAAGGAAACUCGCAAGGCAACCGCCUCCUCGCCCCGCCUUCCCUGAUCCACUAUCCUUCCGCACGAAAGGAAGUUCUUCCCAAGGUAACCGCCGCACAGCCGUGCACGCCGCCACCCACUGCCUCGCGCCGACCACAUCGGCACACCGCCAAGCCGUCGCACCUUCAGGACGCCGGCCACAUCGCCAAGCCGCCGCACCUUCAGGACGCCGGCCACAUCGCCAAGCCGCUGCACCUUCAGGACGCCGGCCGCAUCGCCGAGCCGCCGCACCUUCAGGCCACCGGCCACAUCGCCGAGCCGCCGCGCCUUCAGGACGCCGGCCACAUCGCCUCGAGCCGGCGCCUUCAGGACGCCGGCCACCACAUCGCCUCGAGCCGGCGCCUUCAGGACACCGGCCACAUCGCCUCGAGCCGCCAGCCCAUCGCCGAGCCGCCACACCUUCACACCGCCGCCCCCAUGGCCUAGAGCCCCCGCACCUUCAGGUCACCUCCCCAUCGCCUCGGCCAUCAGCGACGCCGCCUAAAACGCCUCGGCUCGGCCAUCAGCGACAUCGUCAGUUGACAUCUCCCUGUCAUCUCGCAAAGUCAGGGGACACGCCACCUUGACGCACACAGCUGCGGGGCCGGAGGUCUUUCAUCUCUGCUUUCUUUUAUUUUUUCAGUGACAUGCUGCUUCAAAUUUGAUAGAUUGAUUCACGUUUCACUUACCUGAGUUUGCCACGGUUUCUAAACUGGAUAAAACUGAAAAGCAACCCUGUCAAGUGUUAACACAGUUUAACAAACUCUUCAAUCGAUGAUUACAAUGCACACAUUCAGCAGUUCAGCUUCAUUAUUAUUGUCAUUUUCAUUGCUUGAAUUUUGCUCACCCAUGUUUAUGAUCAUAUUAUAUUGAGAUUUCACUGAUUUUAUGCACAAAUCUCGAAGACGGUAAAUAUUCAUUCGGGUGCUUCUCUGUUACGAUCAAGGGAUCGUUCCUAGAUUAGGGACCUUGCAAACAAGUCUACAACAGCGAAUGAAAAUCACGCGGGAUAUAAAACCACAGGGCAAUCAAGGAUGAUAUGCACGAAUGUCUGCUGAUAAAAAGGAGGAAUACCUCAAGAACCGACAUCAGCCACGCGCAGAAAAGAAGGUCGCAACUCUUAUUAGUGCCAACUAUCAGCAAGUAUCUCAAGAACAUGCUUCUUCAUUUUUGUCUCUGCAACGUACCCCUUUGAGAAAUAUAACCAACACACAAAAAUAUGUAAGUACAGCUGCAAGCUCUGGAAGUAUUGAUCAUCAACCUGCAGAUAUCAAUGUUGGAUGCGAAAAACAAAGGGGGCAGGGGUGGUAAUCCCGUUUGUCCCAAGAGAAUAAAGCACAACACCUACAUAAGCUCCGGCUGGCCCGACUAGAAACGAAAGCUGCAGCAAAAAGUGUCAAUGUUGAUGUUCCUCAAUCCCGUGCCCCUCAUGGUUCCACAGGUAAUAUCUCCUAUCUGGUAUAUUCAUUGCCUUCGGGUGUGUCUACACUGAUGGAAAAUGUAAUCAUGAUUUAUGUGAUCUCUGAGCGAUUUCUUGGACGCGACCACUGCCGGUCCACUCCACUCGUGGACAUGGCGGCCUUAACACCAUCGCCGUCCCCAGGCUGACCUACUCCUAGCGUGUACGACACGAUCUCGACGUCGUUGAACCUCAACAGCUCGACGCCACCCAUGAUUCAGGUAAUUAGGUUUGUGAAGGUAGGCUACUACAUACCACUUGCAAAAGGAUCAGUUGAUUUUUUUUCCUUUAUUUUGUAGAAGAUGCAACUCCAAAUAUUUUUGCUUUAUGCAUGACUACUCUACAUGCGUAUUUGGGUAGUAAUAUUUAUUUGAUGAUUGGAUGUGAUUUGGAGGUGUGCUCAGUUUUAUUUUAGCAUGCUCAGAUUUGACCUGAAUCGUAUCUUAUGUACCAUCAGCCUAAUUACUUGGCCGUGGAAUGGGACGAUGGCUGUGUAAUUAUUGGUUUCUCUUGGAUGAUAUGCUCUGAAACAACAAUGUUACACGCUGAAUUGAAACUUUUGGUACCAGCUGGGUAGGGGAUCAGUUGUGCUGAUUUGAAUGGAUUGUGUUUAGAUUUUCGGAUUUGUUGUCUAGCGGCUUGAGGAUGAGGUUUGUGCAACCUCCCCUGGUUACUUGCCUGUACAAUUAACUAUGUUGGAUUUCGUACAUUUUUAACCGUUUGUAGAAAAAGAUGGACCUGUUGCUCAUGGCGUGAGACAGACAAUGCCUUUUGGUAUGAUACCACAUUUCUAAAGAUAAUUCAGUUAUAUCUUCACGCUGCCGUUGUUACUGCGCCCAUAACGCAAGUGCAGUUACUGCCACAACAUUGGUCCGCUAAGAGGAUGCAAACACCAUGAAUCGGCAAAUGGAAAUUGGGGAGGUUUUGGCGACGUCGGUGCAUGAAGGAUGCAAACAACGCAGCUCAGCUAAGCUCAGCUACAUCAGGUGACAUGUGGAUGAUUAGUCUGAAUGAUUGGUCUGAAGUGCCACUGAAGACAUAUAGAAACUAUACUUCACAUGUUUCACUACUUCGAGAGUGUGUCUUGCAAUUAGUCUCUGCCCCACCUUAAAACAAAAUGGAUCAUCUACUCCAAGCGUGUGUGCACGUGGAUUCGAGGGAUUUGGUUUUUUCUCUAGUAACUAGCAUAUUUGGUGAAUGUGUGAAGUCCUGCUACUACUAAUAGAGAAGGAAAAUCACCAAUGAACCUCAUUUUGAGAUAAAAUAGAACCAAUUUAGAAAAACUUGGCAAGCCCACAUUAUGUCA
Molecule: long non-coding RNA, 2783 nt
Organism: Triticum aestivum (bread wheat)
Lineage: Eukaryota; Viridiplantae; Streptophyta; Magnoliopsida; Poales; Poaceae
Exons: 3
Source: RefSeq, a predicted model, not a curated record